GUGCUCACUUUGGCAGCACGUAUACUAAAAUUGAAACAACACAGAGAAGAUUAGCAUGGCCCCUGCGUAAGGAUGACAUGCAAAUUCAUGAAGCAUUCCAUAUUUUU
RNAcentral lists this small nuclear RNA (107 nucleotides) under Dasypus novemcinctus (nine-banded armadillo). The record is from RNAcentral. Lineage: Eukaryota; Metazoa; Chordata; Mammalia; Cingulata; Dasypodidae.